UACAGAGGUCUCAAGCGUUGUUCGGAUUCAUUGGGCGUAAAGGGUGCGUAGGCGGCGAGGUAAGUCGGAUGUGAAAUCCCGGGGCUCAACCCCGGAACUGCAUUCGAUACUGCUUUGCUUGAGUACUGGAGAGGAGACUGGAAUUUACGGUGUAGCAGUGAAAUGCGUAGAUAUCGUAAGGAAGACCAGUGGCGAAGGCGAGUCUCUGGACAGUUACUGACGCUGAGGCACGAAGGCCAGGGGAGCGAACGGG
Molecule: ribosomal RNA, 253 nt
Filed under: uncultured bacterium
Lineage: Bacteria
Description: partial 16S ribosomal RNA
Rfam family: Bacterial small subunit ribosomal RNA
Source: RNAcentral